GGAUGUGUUGGGGGAGGCAUGGAUGUCCAUCGAGUGAAGAGGUCUGAGCCUCCUGUGGCUGACCAGGUGGAGCUACAGCGCCAGUGACGCUCGGCUGCCUCUCUGCAUGUCCAGGACUGGAAGUGGUGGUGACACCCGUGUCCUGGCCCCCUCCAGCGGCAUGAGGAGAUGAUCAUCCCUGGAGGACCCCCCUGAUCCCCUGGGUGCCCUGGCAAUUUCCCUGCAAGAAUCAAUAAACCCCUGCAGCAAAACAAA
This is a long non-coding RNA of Corapipo altera (White-ruffed manakin), 255 nucleotides long. RefSeq lists it as uncharacterized. The record is from RefSeq and is a predicted model, not a curated record. The transcript is spliced from 4 exons. NCBI's taxonomy places the organism in Eukaryota, Metazoa, Chordata, Aves, Passeriformes, Pipridae.